GCGAGGAUGGCGGAAUGGCAGACGCGCCGGGUUUAGGUUCCGGUAUCGCAAGAUGUGGAGGUUCGAGUCCUCUUCCUCGCACCA
This 84-nucleotide transfer RNA is filed under the name Deltaproteobacteria bacterium. RNAcentral's name for it is "tRNA-Leu". It matches the Rfam family "tRNA". From Rfam's summary of the family: Transfer RNA (tRNA) molecules are approximately 80 nucleotides in length. Their secondary structure includes four short double-helical elements and three loops (D, anti-codon, and T loops). Lineage: Bacteria; Pseudomonadati; Myxococcota; Myxococcia. The record is from RNAcentral. RNAcentral also lists the same sequence under 1 other name.